UGGGGAAUAUUGGACAAUGGGCGCAAGCCUGAUCCAGCCAUGCCGCGUGAGUGAUGAAGGCCCUAGGGUUGGAAAGCUCUUUCACCGGUGAAGAUAAUGACGGUAACCGGAGAAGAAUCCCCGGCUAACUUCGUGCCAGCAGCCGCGGUAAUACGAAGGGGGCUAGCGUUGUUCGGAUUUACUGGGCGUAAAGCGCACGUAGGCGGACUUUUAAGUCAGGGGUGAAAUCCCGGGGCUCAACCCCGGAACUGCCUUUGAUACUGGAAGUCUUGAGUAUGGUAGAGGUGAGUGGAAUUCCGAGUGUAGCGGUGAAAUUCGUAGAUAUUCGGAGGAACACCAGUGGCGAAGGCGGCUCACUGGACCAUUACUGACGCUGAGGUGCGAAAGCGUGGGGAGCAAACAGG
RNAcentral lists this ribosomal RNA (404 nucleotides) under Actinomycetes bacterium. RNAcentral's name for it is "Actinobacteria bacterium partial 16S ribosomal RNA". It matches the Rfam family "Bacterial small subunit ribosomal RNA", at positions 355 to 776 of the family's 1533-position model. Lineage: Bacteria; Bacillati; Actinomycetota; Actinomycetes. The record is from RNAcentral.